Molecule: microRNA precursor, 89 nt
Filed under: Pelobates cultripes (western spadefoot toad)
Lineage: Eukaryota; Metazoa; Chordata; Amphibia; Anura; Pelobatidae
Source: RNAcentral
GGUUGUGGUGGCAGUCCUGGCACUGGGAGCCCCCUGCCCAUUACCCUAAUAGACAGGGGGCUCCCAGUGCCAGAACUGCCACCACAACC